RNAcentral lists this ribosomal RNA (253 nucleotides) under uncultured bacterium. Its description in RNAcentral is "partial 16S ribosomal RNA". It matches the Rfam family "Bacterial small subunit ribosomal RNA", at positions 524 to 776 of the family's 1533-position model. The record is from RNAcentral.
UACGGAGGGGGCGAGCGUUAUUCGGAAUUAUUGGGCGUAAAGGGCGCGUAGGCGGCCCGGUAAGUCAAAGGUGAAAUCCCUCGGCUCAACUGAGGAACUGCCUUUGAAACUGUCGGGCUUGAGGCCGGGAGGGGGUAGCGGAAUUCCCAGUGUAGCGGUGAAAUGCGCAGAUAUCGGGAGGAACACCGGUGGCGAAGGCGAUUCUCUGGGCCUGACCUGACGCUGAGGAGCGAAAGCGUGGGGAGCGAACAGG